GCCGGAGUGGUGGAAUUGGUAGACACAGGGGACUUAAAAUCCCCUGGCCCGGAAGGGCCGUGCCGGUUCAAGUCCGGCCUCCGGCA
This 86-nucleotide transfer RNA is filed under the name Winmispira thermophila DSM 6578. Its description in RNAcentral is "tRNA-Leu (TAA) (tRNA-Leu-TAA-1-1)". It matches the Rfam family "tRNA". From Rfam's summary of the family: Transfer RNA (tRNA) molecules are approximately 80 nucleotides in length. The record is from Rfam by way of RNAcentral. Lineage: Bacteria; Pseudomonadati; Spirochaetota; Spirochaetia; Winmispirales; Winmispiraceae.